This 450-nucleotide long non-coding RNA is filed under the name Mus musculus (house mouse). Its description in RNAcentral is "predicted gene 12216". The record is from RNAcentral. Lineage: Eukaryota; Metazoa; Chordata; Mammalia; Rodentia; Muridae.
GACACUUGACUCCAGAAGGACCAGAAGAAAAGCCAUUUUCAUUGCGUCACGUAGGAGCUAAAAGGUGUGUCAAGUUGACAACCAACAUCGCUUCCACUUUGUGAAUGAAGAUGCUGAGGCCGCCAGUGGAGCCAGUAGCCUGGGUUUUCCAAGCAUCUCUCAUCUUCAGGCACACACACUGGACCACAGACUGAAACCCUUGGUGCCGUCUCCUCUGCACCUCCCAAGUCUGCUUCCUGUAUGACCAGCCCUUGAGAUCCGAAGAUGCUAGAAAGAUGAGGUUGGGGAGUGAGGUAUCUUCUACCUAUGCCGGCCUGGCACAGCAUCCUCAGCUGCACGCAUGAGCGAAUGCCACAAUGUGCUUACAUCAGAACUUCUAAAAGUGUAAUGCCCUGGUCACUUCCGGGUGCUGUCCUGCAGAUGCCUUUAAUAAAUGUUUUUAUUUCCUCA